CCAGACUUGAGAUAAUUUUUCAGCAACCUGUAGGCUCCUACGUUAAUGACAAGUUAACACUUUUUAGUAGCAAUUUGACACUUGUAUAAAGAUGAUCCGUAUAUUUCAAAUAUUGUCUCCUUUGAUCUUGUGCAUCCCAGGUUCUAUGGGGAUCAUCACAGUAGGUCAGUCUCCUGCUGUCAUUAAUGCCCAGCCUCAUGACACUGUGGAUUUCCUUUGCCGAGCAUCACAGGAUAUUGGACGUUACAUGUCUCUUUACCAGUUUAAACCUGGACAAGCUCCAAAAAGUUUAAUUUACUACAGUGACACAAGGUUUUCAGACACCCCACAGCGGUUCAGUGGUAUCAGGAAUGGAGCUCUGACCACCUUCACCAUCAGUGGUGUUCAGCUGGAGGAUGAGGCCGUGUACUACUGCCAGCAGGGUUAUGAGUAUCCGUUCACACAGUGAAAUAUCGCCGUACAAAAACCUCCUGCUCCUCUCUCAGCUUCACUGAUCUUGACAGUUUGUACUCGCUCAAUCAUGGAACAUUUCUUGAUCACUAUAAACACAUUCAAGACAAUUCAGACUUGCCCUGAGACUAACGUCCAGCUUAAGCACUAUAUAUUAUAGUGAUAUUGGCCUUCUUAAGAGUAUGGGUCGCCUCUAUACAUUGACAGAUAGUAUCAAGGUUCUUUUUCAUGUUUAGGAUUCAAAAUAGCUCCAUUCCUCAGGAAUAUUACAAAUGAUUGUUUUUUGCCCAACUCUACUCUACACAACUUUGCAACCACUUUUGUUU
This is a non-coding RNA of Alosa sapidissima (American shad), 776 nucleotides long. The record is from the annotation of a RefSeq genome assembly. NCBI's taxonomy places the organism in Eukaryota, Metazoa, Chordata, Actinopteri, Clupeiformes, Clupeidae.